Molecule: ribosomal RNA, 1409 nt
Filed under: uncultured bacterium
Lineage: Bacteria
Description: 16S ribosomal RNA
Rfam family: Bacterial small subunit ribosomal RNA
Source: RNAcentral
CGCUAGCUACAGGCUUAACACAUGCAAGUCGAGGGGCAGCGGGAAGGGAGCUUGCUCCCUUUGCCGGCGACCGGCGCACGGGUGAGUAACGCGUAUCCAACCUGCCCGGCACCCGGGGACAGCCCUCUGAAAGGAGGAUUAAUACCCGAUGCCCUCAUGAGUCCGCAUGGUCUUAUGAGGAAAGUUUUAUUGCGGUGCCGGUUGGGGAUGCGUCCCAUUAGGUAGUUGGAGGGGUAACGGCCCACCAAGCCAUCGAUGGGUAGGGGUUCUGAGAGGAAGGUCCCCCACAUUGGAACUGAGACACGGUCCAAACUCCUACGGGAGGCAGCAGUGAGGAAUAUUGGUCAAUGGGCGGAAGCCUGAACCAGCCAAGUAGCGUGCGGGAUGAAGGCCCUAUGGGUUGUAAACCGCUUUUGUUGGGGAAUAACGGCGGCCACGUGUGCCGAGAGGAAUGUACCCUUCGAAUAAGCAUCGGCUAAUUCCGUGCCAGCAGCCGCGGUAAUACGGAAGAUGCAGGCGUUAUCCGGAUUUAUUGGGUUUAAAGGGAGCGUAGGCGGGCGUUUAAGUCAGCGGUGAAAUCAUGCGGCUCAACCGUGUGUUGCCGUUGAUACUGGAUGCCUUGAGUACGGACAGGGCGCGUGGAAUUCGUGGUGUAGCGGUGAAAUGCUUAGAUAUCACGAAGAACUCCGAUCGCGAAGGCAGCGCGCCGGGCCGGGACUGACGCUGAGGCUCGAAAGUGCGGGUAUCAAACAGGAUUAGAUACCCUGGUAGUCCGCACGGUAAACGAUGAAUGCUCGCUGUGGGCGAUACAAUGUCCGUGGCCAAGCGAAAGCGUUAAGCAUUCCACCUGGGGAGUACGCCGGCAACGGUGAAACUCAAAGGAAUUGACGGGGGCCCGCACAAGCGGAGGAACAUGUGGUUUAAUUCGAUGAUACGCGAGGAACCUUACCCGGGCUUGAACUGCAGGUGCAUGGUGCAGAGAUGUGCCUUUCCUUCGGGACUCCUGCGGAGGUGCUGCAUGGUUGUCGUCAGCUCGUGCCGUGAGGUGUCGGCUUAAGUGCCAUAACGAGCGCAACCCCUCUCCACAGUUGCCAUCGGGUAAUGCCGGGCACUCUGUGGACACUGCCGCCGCAAGGCGUGAGGAAGGUGGGGAUGACGUCAAAUCAGCACGGCCCUUACGUCCGGGGCCACACACGUGUUACAAUGGCGGGUACAGAGGGCCGCGACCGGGCGACCGGCAGCCAAUCCCGAAAUCCCGUCCCAGUUCGGACUGGAGUCUGCAACCCGACUCCACGAAGCUGGAUUCGCUAGUAAUCGCGCAUCAGCCAUGGCGCGGUGAAUACGUUCCCGGGCCUUGUACACACCGCCCGUCAAGCCAUGAAAGCCGGGGGCGCCUGAAGUCCGUGACC